Molecule: ribosomal RNA, 147 nt
Filed under: uncultured bacterium
Lineage: Bacteria
Description: partial 16S ribosomal RNA
Rfam family: Bacterial small subunit ribosomal RNA
Source: RNAcentral
GCAUGCCGCGGUGAAUACGUUCUCGGGCCUUGUACACACCGCCCGUCACACCAUGGGAGUCGGUAACACCCGAAGUCUGUAGCCUGACGCAAGAGGGCGCAGCCGAAGGUGGGAUUGAUGACUGGGGUGAAGUCGUAACAAGGUAUC